AGCGAACGUUUGCGGCGGGCCUAACACAUGCAAGUCGAACGGGCUAGCAAUAGUCAGUGGCGCACGGGUGCGUAACACGUGGGUAAUCAACCCUUCAGCUCGGGAUAACGCCUUGAAAGGGGCGCUAAUACCGGAUGCGACGCGAGGAGCCUCGGCGCUUCGCGGGAAAGAUUCGCAAGGAUCACUGAAGGACGAGCCUGCGGCCCAUCAGCUAGUUGGUGAGGUAAGAGCUCACCAAGGCGAAGACGGGUAGCUGGUCUGAGAGGAUGAUCAGCCACACUGGAACUGAGACACGGUCCAGACUCCUACGGGAGGCAGCAGUGGGGAAUAUUGCGCAAUGGGCGAAAGCCUGACGCAGCCACGCCGCGUGAGCGGUGAAGGCCUCGGUC
Molecule: ribosomal RNA, 389 nt
Filed under: uncultured bacterium
Lineage: Bacteria
Description: bacterial SSU rRNA
Rfam family: Bacterial small subunit ribosomal RNA
Source: RNAcentral